This 776-nucleotide ribosomal RNA is filed under the name uncultured Neocallimastigales. RNAcentral's name for it is "partial large subunit ribosomal RNA". It matches the Rfam family "Eukaryotic large subunit ribosomal RNA", at positions 26 to 637 of the family's 3401-position model. The record is from RNAcentral. Lineage: Eukaryota; Fungi; Neocallimastigomycota; Neocallimastigomycetes; Neocallimastigales.
CGCAUCUGUGCAUGCAGCAUAUCAAUAAGCGGAGGAAAAGAAACUAACAAGGAUUCCCCUAGUAACGGCGAGUGAAGCGGGAAGAGCUCAAAUUUGAAAUCUUAAAGGGUUUCCCUUUACGAAUUGUAGUUUAAAGAAGUGUUUUCUGUUGAGGUUUUGGUAAAAGUUCUUUGGAAUAGGACAUCAUAGAGGGUGAGAAUCCCGUAUUUGACCUUUACUUUCAACUUUGUGAUACACUUUCAAAGAGUCGGAUUGUUUGGGAAUGCAGUCCAAAAUGGGUGGUAAAUUUCAUCUAAAGCUAAAUAUUGGCGAGAGACCGAUAGCGAACAAGUACCGUGAGGGAAAGAUGAAAAGAACUUUGAAAAGAGAGUUAAACAGUACGUGUAAAUUGUCAAAAGGGAAGCGUUUGACACCAGUGUUGUUUUUCUGAAAAUCAAUUAAAGAACUGUUUAUGCUAAGCUGUUUAGACUUUAUCAGCUAACUGUUUAGUUUUGAGCUUUUCUUUAAUGCACUUUUCAGUUAACAAGUCAACAUCAAUUUCUUUUGCAGUAAAAAAGCUUGAGGAAGGUGGCUUGAGAUUCGUCUUAAGUGUUUAUAGCCUCUUGCCUAUGCAGUCGGAGAGAUUGAGGUCUGCAGCGUAGAUCCUUCGGGGCUAAAUGCAUUUGUGCUAAGUUAUAAGCAUUUUAUAGACAACUUGUUGACUAUGAUUUGUCUUGUAGCUUACUCGCUUAUGUUAUUUUACCUACGCUUAGGAUGUUGACAGCAGUAUAGACUGU